GAUGAACGCUGGCGGCGUGCCUAAUACAUGCAAGUCGAGCGAACAGACGAGGAGCUUGCUCCUCUGACGUUAGCGGCGGACGGGUGAGUAACACGUGGAUAACCUACCUAUAAGACUGGGAUAACUUCGGGAAACCGGAGCUAAUACCGGAUAACAUGUUGAACCGCAUGGUUCAACAGUGAAAGCCGGUCUUGCUGUCACUUAUAGAUGGAUCCGCGCCGCAUUAGCUAGUUGGUAAGGUAACGGCUUACCAAGGCAACGAUGCGUAGCCGACCUGAGAGGGUGAUCGGCCACACUGGAACUGAGACACGGUCCAGACUCCUACGGGAGGCAGCAGUAGGAAAUCUUCCGCAAUGGGCGAAAGCCUGACGGAGCAACGCCGCGUGAGUGAAGAAGGUCUUCGGAUCGUAAAACUCUGUUAUUAGGGAAGAACAAAUGUGUAAGUAACUAUGCACGUCUUGACGGUACCUAAUCAGAAAGCCACGGCUAACUACGUG
This 497-nucleotide ribosomal RNA is filed under the name uncultured bacterium. Its description in RNAcentral is "partial 16S ribosomal RNA". It matches the Rfam family "Bacterial small subunit ribosomal RNA", at positions 28 to 507 of the family's 1533-position model. The record is from RNAcentral.